Oxyura jamaicensis (ruddy duck) is the source of this 2738-nucleotide long non-coding RNA. RefSeq lists it as uncharacterized. The transcript is spliced from 2 exons. NCBI's taxonomy places the organism in Eukaryota, Metazoa, Chordata, Aves, Anseriformes, Anatidae. The record is from RefSeq and is a predicted model, not a curated record.
CAAGGAAAUCCCACCUUGUGAAGUCUACUUUGACCCAUUUGCUGUUUCCUGAUAUAUUUGGUGAGGAACUACUACGAAGCAUCCAAUCACAUCAAAGUGUGUUUUCCAGCAAUAUCAUGCAAAGGAUCUCAAGCAGAGAUAAAUGUGCCUGCUUUUUGUGUUAAGAUUAACAACAUGGAAUAGCAGCCUCUCCACAAUAGAAGACUCUUUUAUAUUUUUCCCACAUUUCUACAUUUCUCUGAAAUGUAGACAGCCAUACUUCCGAAUAUGUUUGAGGUAAGUGUUGUUAGAAGCAGUAACCUACCUGGGUGUGAAUGUGGUACAUACUGUACACAGGUUGCACAGAUUAGUUUAUCCUUAAUUUUAGGGUAAAUUUUGUAGUGUAGAAACACAGUCUGAAGCAAUUCAUGGAGAAUUCAUUCUUGUGAUUGAUGGACUUAACUAUCCUACUAUCCUUUACUUACUUUAUCCUACUAUGUGGAAUAGGGCCUCAGGUGAGGGUCCCCAAAAUGUUCCAACAUGCAAAGAUUAGGUCAAGUGUGGGACCAAGGGGUGGAUACUCUUUGUGGUGAUGACUGUGGUAAGUCUUACAACUUAAGAGCAGAAAAAUUGUAUUUUUGGGAAAUCAGGUGCUCCUAAGGCUUGGAGGAGGGUUAUACAGAUGUUAUCCUACCAGAGCUUUCCAGGAAGAAGACUUGAGUGUGCAGUACUUCUUGCAAUCAGUUGUCUGCUCAAGAAGGGUCUUGGAGAUGCCAUAUGUACUGCAUUCUGUUAAAAGUAGGUCUGAGUAUUUAUCAUGGCAAUAGUGGAGAGGCAGUAAAAUGAGUUUAAAUAGAAGCUAUUUUAGUGGAUAUUCCUAUUUGGCUGCUGCUGCUACUGGAAGAAAGGUGGCUGAAAGAUAACACAGAUGGCACAGCAGCCUGUCAGCUACCUUUCUUCAUUAACUUAGACUGCAAUAAAACACAGCUUUUUAAAACAAAGUUCAAGUAGCCAGAGCCUCUCUGCGGAAAUUAAUUUCCUCUGGAAGCUAGUUUCACGUAACUCAUCACCUACUUCACUGAACAUUAUUCAGCCCUGUCAGUAGUGACAGAAGUGCUUGACAGAGCUGCUGAAAACUGGGUCAUGUGGUGGAUAAAACAUAGCCUGCUUCCCCGAGCUGCUUUUAGUGUGGACCUCCUGAGACUGCAGUAAAUAAUAAAUACCUGCAGGCCACUGUGGGCACUUGGUGCAAUGUUGCAGAACUCAUCUUUGGUCCACGAGAGGAGGAGAUCCUGUAAUAACAUAAACCUACGAAGUAGGUCUUCACAAAUAAACUUUUGGCUGCCUGUCUCUGUUUAUUACUCUGAGCUGUUACUGUGCUGAUUUUUUUCCUGAUAAUGUGUAGGUGUAUACUCUUGCACAAUGCAGUUUCUACCCAUGUGGAUCUAUUUUCCAGCUUAGGGGCUUCUUUUGAGGGCUUUGCUGGUGUGGUGGUAGCAGCUGUUGGUUGUCUGUGCCUCACUAACCCUGCUAACAAGAGGAGCAGUCACACAGUGAGGACACCGUUGCACUGCUCCUGGACAGCUCAGUUCCUUUUUCUGAGAUAAUCUGCAGCUGGUUUAGUGGCUAGUAUCCAUUCCUGGAGGCUCCUGACAAGCACUAGAGCCGGUGCAAGGCAACCAAAAUAGUGUGUACAAGAGUGAUAUAAGGGGUGUAUAACUUCCCCUUUCAGCAUUGGUGGCGAGAUGUUGGAUGGGCUCAGCCACCCUGUGCUGUUUCUCCGAGGCCAAGUCAUGCAUCACUUGAGCCAUAGCAGCUCACCAUACGUGAACUCUCAGCAUGUUCCAGGAAUCAAAGUAGAAAUAGAAAUUCACAUAAAAAAUCUGAAGGCUCAGGUGAAAUGAAUGAUCCUGCUGUCUCUUGAACUGCAUUUCAUCAGGAUGAGGGACACGCUUACAGCAAUUAUUCUCUUGUAGUGGUGUAUCCCCAUGGUGUAGAUGGGUUUAUUCCUUUAGGAGAUUUCUCCAGGUAAACAGAGAUGUGGAUUUGGGCCUUACACUGUGUCUCAGGAGAGAAAGAAAAAAAUAUUUUUGUCUGUCUACAGACCUUGAGGUUUUGGACAGUGAUUGUUUCAUGGUUAGCCUUGAGGUGACACUGGUUAGAGAAAAAUGAAGAGGAGAACUGCCAGUGUUGGAAGAGGAAGAAUGGAUUUACAAAUUCAAAUUGCAAAAGUUUGCAGAGAUGUGAAUGAUAACACCAGUGGAUCAGAUCACAUUAGUCUUGCCCUGAUAUCAGCAUUUCAUCCCCAUUACCUAGCAGCUAUAUCCAGGAGUCUCCCAGUUCCCUCAGUACAAGCAAGCAAAGAAGCAAAUCCAUGCAGGAGAAUAGCGAUCCCUCUGGGGAAAACACACCUUUGUUAGGCUUCCAUCUUGGUUGGUGCUACACAAAAGAAAAAAGCAGAAAGAGCUUUAAUAGCAGAAUAGAGAGCUCCAGCAGGCUUAGCAGCAUGAACAUUAUGUUGGUAGAUGGGCACUGUUGUCUUUAAUAGGUUAUCUUUUUCCAUUAGAACACUGUUUAAAUUUUUAAGUGGUGCACAAGAUCAUAAGGGCUUUUACCAUGUGGGUUCUGAUUUUCAUGUGGGUUUAGAAUGUGUGAGAGAAGCUAAUGCAUUAAGAACUACUCAUGAAUCUCCUCUAUUUCCAGACAUCCCCUGGGAACUAUUGAUGGUCAUUUCAUCUUUCUUAUGUGACUUUUAAGAU